This 183-nucleotide ribosomal RNA is filed under the name uncultured soil bacterium. Its description in RNAcentral is "partial 16S ribosomal RNA". It matches the Rfam family "Bacterial small subunit ribosomal RNA", at positions 26 to 215 of the family's 1533-position model. The record is from RNAcentral.
AGAUUGAGCGCUGGCGGCAGGCCUAACACAUGCAAGUCGAGCGGUAGAGAGGUGCUUGCACCUCUUGAGAGCGGCGGACGGGUGAGUAAUGCCUAGGAAUCUGCCUAGUGGUGGGGGAUAACGUUCGGAAACGGACGCUAAUACCGCAUACGUCCGUACGGGAGAAAGCGGGGGACCUUCGGG